AGAGUUUGAUCCUGGCUCAGGACGAACGCUGGCGGCGUGCCUAACACAUGCAAGUCGAACGAGGAGAUUCCCUUCGGGGAUGAACCUAGCGGCGGACGGGUGAGUAACACGUGGGCAACCUGCCUUAUAGAGGGGAAUAGCCUUCCGAAAGGAAGAUUAAUACCGCAUAACAUUACAUUUUCGCAUGAAAAAGUAAUUAAAGGAGCAAUCCGCUAUAAGAUGGGCCCGCGGCGCAUUAGCUAGUUGGUGAGGUAACGGCUCACCAAGGCGACGAUGCGUAGCCGACCUGAGAGGGUGAUCGGCCACAUUGGGACUGAGACACGGCCCAGACUCCUACGGGAGGCAGCAGUGGGGAAUAUUGCACAAUGGGGGAAACCCUGAUGCAGCAACGCCGCGUGAGUGAUGAAGGUCUUCGGAUCGUAAAGCUCUGUCUUCAGGGACGAUAAUGACGGUACCUGAGGAGGAAGCCACGGCUAACUACGUGCCAGCAGCCGCGGUAAUACGUAGGUGGCAAGCGUUGUCCGGAUUUACUGGGCGUAAAGGGAGCGUAGGCGGAUACUUAAGUGGGAUGUGAAAUACCUGGGCUUAACUUGGGUGCUGCAUUCCAAACUGGGUGUCUAGAGUGUUGGAGAGGAAAGUGGAAUUCCUAGUGUAGCGGUGAAAUGCGUAGAGAUUAGGAAGAACACCAGUGGCGAAGGCGACUUUCUGGACAAUAACUGACGCUGAGGCUCGAAAGCGUGGGGAGCAACAGGAUUAGAUACCCUGGUAGUCCACGCCGUAAACGAUGGGUACUAGGUGUAGGGGGUAUCGACUCCCCCUG
RNAcentral lists this ribosomal RNA (820 nucleotides) under uncultured bacterium. Its description in RNAcentral is "bacterial SSU rRNA". It matches the Rfam family "Bacterial small subunit ribosomal RNA", at positions 8 to 843 of the family's 1533-position model. The record is from RNAcentral.